RNAcentral lists this ribosomal RNA (347 nucleotides) under uncultured bacterium. Its description in RNAcentral is "bacterial SSU rRNA". It matches the Rfam family "Bacterial small subunit ribosomal RNA", at positions 162 to 509 of the family's 1533-position model. The record is from RNAcentral.
AUUAAUACUCUAUGUUUUCCAAUGCAGACAUCUAAGUUGGAACAAAGGUUCACCGCUAUAGGAUGGGGAUGCGUCUGAUUAGAUUGUAGCGGGUAACGGCCCACCUAGUCGACGAUCAGUAGGGGUUCUGAGAGGAAGGUCCCCCACAUUGGAACUGAGACACGGUCCAAACUCCUACGGGAGGCAGCAGUGAGGAAUAUUGGUCAAUGGGCGAGAGCCUGAACCAGCCAAGUAGCGUGCAGGAUGACGGCCCUAUGGGUUGUAAACUGCUUUUAUCGGGGGAUAAAGUGAGGGACGUGUCCCUUAUUGUAGGUACCCGAUGAAUAAGGACCGGCUAAUUCCGUGCC